UUUCCUGCCUCUCACUAGCUU
RNAcentral lists this microRNA (21 nucleotides) under Physcomitrium patens. Its description in RNAcentral is "ppt-miR1219d". The record is from miRBase by way of RNAcentral. Lineage: Eukaryota; Viridiplantae; Streptophyta; Bryopsida; Funariales; Funariaceae.